Molecule: long non-coding RNA, 217 nt
Filed under: Elaeis guineensis (African oil palm)
Lineage: Eukaryota; Viridiplantae; Streptophyta; Magnoliopsida; Arecales; Arecaceae
Description: long non-coding RNA (EGUI_LNC000642)
Source: RNAcentral
AUCCGAUAAGGAAGUGCAAGUUUUACUUACUGGGCUAGUGUAGCUCAUAUUCUUUUUGUUUUCUUUUUGUUUGAACAGAGGAAUAAGGUUAGGAUUGGCAAAAAAGAAUCCAGGCUUGAAGAUCUGCAUAGCAAGCUUGAAAAUUUGGUAGCAGAAGUUUAGUUAUUUUAUAAUCACAGAUUUGUAGUUAUUUAUAAAUAUUGAGAUUCGGAUUGGU